RNAcentral lists this ribosomal RNA (495 nucleotides) under uncultured bacterium. Its description in RNAcentral is "partial 16S ribosomal RNA". It matches the Rfam family "Bacterial small subunit ribosomal RNA", at positions 28 to 507 of the family's 1533-position model. The record is from RNAcentral.
GACGAACGCUGGCGGCGUGCCUAAUACAUGCAAGUAGAACGCUGAAGGAGGAGCUUGCUUCUCUGGAUGAGUUGCGAACGGGUGAGUAACGCGUAGGUAACCUGCCUGUUAGCGGGGGAUAACUUUUGGAAACGAUAGCUAAUACCGCAUAAUAGUAGAUGUUGCAUGACAUUUGCUUAAAAGGUGCAAUUGCAUCACUACCAGAUGGACCUGCGUUGUAUUAGGUAGUUGGUGGGGUAACGGCUCACCAAGGCGACGAUACAUCGCCGACCUGAGAGGGUGAUCGGCCACACUGGGACUGAGACACGGCCCAGAAUCCUACGGGAGGGAGCAGUAGGGAAACUUCAGCAAUGGGCGGAAGUCUGACCGAGCAACGCCGCGUGAGUGAAGAAGGUUGUGGGAUCGUAAAGCUCUGUUGUAAGGGAAGAACGAGUGUGAGAGUGGAAAGUUCACACUGUGACGGUAUCUGACCAGAAAGGGACGGCUAACUACGUG